Molecule: unclassified non-coding RNA, 1009 nt
Filed under: Hevea brasiliensis (rubber tree)
Lineage: Eukaryota; Viridiplantae; Streptophyta; Magnoliopsida; Malpighiales; Euphorbiaceae
Source: RNAcentral
CUCUAUGCAAAUUAUUUGUGCUUCGUUUAGCCAAAAACAACUAUAUUGCCACUCAAAGUCAAGUAUAUUUUUGGUUUUUUCAUUGGAUAAGCUUAUAUGUAUAAUAUAUAACAAAGCGACUCUCUUGCCCCUUCUGGUAAAUACAACAUCUCACCCUAUGAAAUAAAACCAAAAUGUUUACUACAAGGAUGACCCAUUGAGAUGAAAUCAAAUUUAUAAAUCCACUUAAUUCUCCGAUUCAUCUCUUUUAUCCUCCAAGAGAGGCUCUCUUUUGUCCUCCAAGAAUGGCUCUUUUUUGUCUUCCCAUAUGUUCAACCGAUCCUGUGCAUUCUCCACCUGAAAAUUUGUAAAGCAAACCCAUAAACACAGAUGAUCAUUGGUAACUACAUCAUCAAUAUAAAGCUAAAAACAUAUGGGCCAAGAAAAAGGGAAAGAAAAAAAGAGCACGGUGGCUGGAACUAUAUUAUUGUUGAGUUGUCUAAGCAAGCGUGGACCCUUGUCAGAGGCUGCGUAAUCUUGUACAGAAGUGUAAUGAAUUGAACGCGCAGCUUUUGUUGGCUGGAAAUGGAUGAGUUGGAUAUGAAUGCGACGGGUAAUCAAAAGAUUUACCCGAGUGAGUUUCACUUAGCUAGCUAUCAUGAGUAGCAACAUGAAAUUAGAAACCAUCCUCUACUUUACAAGAAAUUUUACCUCUUUAUUCCAGUCUGUUCGAUAAGUGACCCACAAUAAAAUAAUAGUCUGUAAAAAUGUACCACCUAUCAUCCCUGACCAUAUUCCCUACAAGUACAAUUAAAAAAUGUAAUGUGGAUUAGAGGAUAACUAUAAUAAAAAGAUCAUAAACAGAGGGGAAGUACAUCAAUUAUAAUGUGGAAUUGUGCAUGAUUAAUACCAUACCUGUACACCAAGGUUGAAUUUAAAUCCAAGAAGUACCCCUAAUGGAACACCAAUCAGGUAAUAACAUCCAACGUUCACAUAUGCUACAAAAGCUUGCCAUCCACAUCCAACAGCC